Molecule: ribosomal RNA, 501 nt
Filed under: uncultured bacterium
Lineage: Bacteria
Description: partial 16S ribosomal RNA
Rfam family: Bacterial small subunit ribosomal RNA
Source: RNAcentral
AUUGAACGCUGGCGGCAGGCUUAACACAUGCAAGUCGAGCGGGGGAAGGUAGCUUGCUACCGGACCUAGCGGCGGACGGGUGAGUAAUGCUUAGGAAUCUGCCUAUUAGUGGGGGACAACAUCUCGAAAGGGAUGCUAAUACCGCAUACGUCCUACGGGAGAAAGCAGGGGAUCUUCGGACCUUGCGCUAAUAGAUGAGCCUAAGUCAGAUUAGCUAGUUGGUGGGGUAAAGGCCUACCAAGGCGACGAUCUGUAGCGGGUCUGAGAGGAUGAUCCGCCACACUGGGGCUGAGACACGGCCCAGACUCCUACGGGAGGCAGCAGUGGGGAAUAUUGGACAAUGGGGGGAACCCUGAUCCAGCCAUGCCGCGUGUGUGAAGAAGGCCUUAUGGUUGUAAAGCACUUUAAGCGAGGAGGAGGCUACUUUAGUUAAUACCUAGAGAUAGUGGACGCUACUCGCAGAAUAAGCACCGGCUAACUCUGUGCCAGCAGCCGCAGUAA